RNAcentral lists this ribosomal RNA (547 nucleotides) under uncultured bacterium. RNAcentral describes it as "bacterial SSU rRNA". It matches the Rfam family "Bacterial small subunit ribosomal RNA", at positions 358 to 916 of the family's 1533-position model. The record is from RNAcentral.
GGAAUAUUGGGCAAUGGAGGAAGCUCUGACCCAGCGACGCCGCGUGAGGGAUGAAGGCCUUCGGGUUGUAAACCUCUUUCAGUAGGGAAGAAGCGAAAGUGACGGUACCUACAGAAGAAGCACCGGCUAACUAUGUGCCAGCAGCCGCGGUAAUACAUAGGGUGCAAGCGUUGUCCGGAAUUAUUGGGCGUAAAGAGCUCGUAGGUGGUUCGAUACGUCGGAUGUGAAAAUCAGGGGCUCAACCCCUGACCUGCAUCCGAUACGGUCGAGCUAGAGUUUGGUAGGGGAGACUGGAAUUCCUGGUGUAGCGGUGGAAUGCGCAGAUAUCAGGAGGAACACCGAUGGCGAAGGCAGGUCUCUGGGCCAAUACUGACACUGAGGAGCGAAAGCGUGGGGAGCGAACAGGAUUAGAUACCCUGGUAGUCCACGCCGUAAACGGUGGGCGCUAGUUGUGCGAACCUUCCACGGUUUGUGCGACGCAGCUAACGCAUUAAGCGCCCCGCCUGGGGAGUACGAUCGCAAGAUUAAAACUCAAAUGAAUUGACGG